RNAcentral lists this small nuclear RNA (157 nucleotides) under Dasypus novemcinctus (nine-banded armadillo). RNAcentral describes it as "U1 spliceosomal RNA (ENSDNOG00000029054.1)". It matches the Rfam family "U1 spliceosomal RNA". Rfam says of the family: U1 is a small nuclear RNA (snRNA) component of the spliceosome (involved in pre-mRNA splicing). Its 5' end forms complementary base pairs with the 5' splice junction, thus defining the 5' donor site of an intron. There are significant differences in sequence and secondary structure between metazoan and yeast U1 snRNAs, the latter being much longer (568 nucleotides as compared to 164 nucleotides in human). The record is from RNAcentral. Lineage: Eukaryota; Metazoa; Chordata; Mammalia; Cingulata; Dasypodidae.
AUACUUAUCUGGUCAGCAAGAUACCAUGAACACAAAGGUGGUUUUCCCAGGAUGAGGUUCAUCAGUUGUAUUCUGGUUGUGCUGACUCCUUCCCAAAUGCAGUAAACUUGACUGCAUUAUUUGUGGUAGUGGGGGACUGCAUUUGCACUUUCCCCUA